Molecule: transfer RNA, 86 nt
Filed under: Clostridium sp.
Lineage: Bacteria; Bacillati; Bacillota; Clostridia; Eubacteriales; Clostridiaceae
Description: tRNA-Tyr
Rfam family: tRNA
About the family: Transfer RNA (tRNA) molecules are approximately 80 nucleotides in length. Their secondary structure includes four short double-helical elements and three loops (D, anti-codon, and T loops). Further hydrogen bonds mediate the characteristic L-shaped molecular structure. tRNAs have two regions of fundamental functional importance: the anti-codon, which is responsible for specific mRNA codon recognition, and the 3' end, to which the tRNAs corresponding amino acid is attached (by aminoacyl-tRNA synthetases). tRNAs cope with the degeneracy of the genetic code in two manners: having more than one tRNA (with a specific anti-codon) for a particular amino acid; and 'wobble' base-pairing, i.e. permitting non-standard base-pairing at the 3rd anti-codon position.
Source: RNAcentral
GGAGGGGUUCCCGAGUUGGCCAAAGGGGGCAGACUGUAAAUCUGCUGUCUCAGACUUCGAUGGUUCGAAUCCGUCUCCCUCCACCA